UAGCACCAUUAGAAAAUGGU
This 20-nucleotide microRNA is filed under the name Ciona intestinalis (vase tunicate). RNAcentral describes it as "cin-miR-29-3p". Its record names the gene cin-miR-29-3p. The record is from miRBase by way of RNAcentral. Lineage: Eukaryota; Metazoa; Chordata; Ascidiacea; Phlebobranchia; Cionidae.